UGUGUGUUAGUGGAAGCGUCUGGAAAGGCGCGCGAUACAGGGUGACAGCCCCGUACACAAAAAUGCACAUGCUGUGAGCUCGAUGAGUAGGGCGGGACACGUGGUAUCCUGUCUGAAUAUGGGGGGACCAUCCUCCAAGGCUAAAUACUCCUGACUGACCGAUAGUGAACCAGUACCGUGAGGGAAAGGCGAAAAGAACCCCGGCGAGGGGAGUGAAAAAGAACCUGAAACCGUGUACGUACAAGCAGUGGGAGCACGCUUAGGCGUGUGACUGCGUACCUUUUGUAUAAUGGGUCAGCGACUUAUAUUCUGUAGCAAGGUUAACCGAAUAGGGGAGCCGAAGGGAAACCGAGUCUUAACUGGGCGUUAAGUUGCAGGGUAUAGACCCGAAACCCGGUGAUCUAGCCAUGGGCAGGUUGAAGGUUGGGUAACACUAACUGGAGGACCGAACCGACUAAUGUUGAAAAAUUAGCGGAUGACUUGUGGCUGGGGGUGAAAGGCCAAUCAAACCGGGAGAUAGCUGGUUCUCCCCGAAAGCUAUUUAGGUAGCGCCUCGUGAAUUCAUCUCCGGGGGUAGAGCACUGUUUCGGCAAGGGGGUCAUCCCGACUUACCAACCCGAUGCAAACUGCGAAUACCGGAGAAUGUUAUCACGGGAGACACACGGCGGGUGCUAACGUCCGUCGUGAAGAGGGAAACAACCCAGACCGCCAGCUAAGGUCCCAAAGUCAUGGUUAAGUGGGAAACGAUGUGGGAAGGCCCAGACAGCCAGGAUGUUGGCUUAGAAGCAGCCAUCAUUUAAAGAAAGCGUAAUAGCUCACUGGUCGAGUCGGCCUGCGCGGAAGAUGUAACGGGGCUAAACCAUGCACCGAAGCUGCGGCAGCGACGCUGAUGCGUUGUUGGGUAGGGGAGCGUUCUGUAAGCCUGCGAAGGUGUGCUGUGAGG
RNAcentral lists this ribosomal RNA (943 nucleotides) under Escherichia coli. RNAcentral describes it as "partial 23S ribosomal RNA". It matches the Rfam family "Bacterial large subunit ribosomal RNA", at positions 323 to 1268 of the family's 2925-position model. Lineage: Bacteria; Pseudomonadati; Pseudomonadota; Gammaproteobacteria; Enterobacterales; Enterobacteriaceae. The record is from RNAcentral.